RNAcentral lists this ribosomal RNA (512 nucleotides) under Aspidoscelis communis. RNAcentral describes it as "partial 16S ribosomal RNA". It matches the Rfam family "Bacterial large subunit ribosomal RNA", at positions 1858 to 2620 of the family's 2925-position model. The record is from RNAcentral. Lineage: Eukaryota; Metazoa; Chordata; Lepidosauria; Squamata; Teiidae.
CCUGCCCAGUGAUAUUUUCAACGGCCGCGGGAUCCUACACCGUGCAAAGGUAGCAUAAUCACUUGUCAUCUAAAUAAUGACUAGUAUGAAUGGCCCUAUGAGGACUUCCCUGUCUCUUGUAAUAAAUCAAUGAAACUGAUCCCCCAGUACAAAAGCUGGGAUAAAGCCACAAGACGAAAAGACCCUGUGGAACUUAUAAGUGCCAAUCAACAAAAUGACACAACCACUUUUAGUUGGGGCAACUUUGGAACAAAACAAAACUUCCAAUUACGGUAAUAAUUUAACCCAAAAUUAGGUACACACACCAACCUUUGACCAACAACUGACCCAGUAUUACUGAUUAAAGAAACAAGCUACCCCAGGGAUAACAGCGCCAUCCCCUCUUAGAGCCCAAAUCGACGAGCGGGGCUUACGACCUCGAUGUUGGAUCAGGGCCCCCAAACAGUGCAGCAGCUGUUAAAGGUUUGUUUGUUCAACAAUUAAUGCCCUACGUGAUCUGAGUUCAGACCGGA